CCUACGGGAGGCAGCAGUGAGGAAUAUUGGUCAAUGGGCGCGAGCCUGAACCAGCCAAGUCGCGUGAAGGAUGACUGCCCUACGGGUUGUAAACUUCUUUUAUAAAGGAAUAAAGUGAGACACGCGUGCCUUUUUGUAUGUAUUUUAUGAAUAAGGAUCGGCUAACUCCGUGCCAGCAGCCGCGGUAAUACGGAGGAUCCGAGCGUUAUCAGGAUUUAUUGGGUUUAAAGGGAGCGUAGGUGGGUGGUUAAGUCAGUGGUGAAAGUCCGAGGCUCAACCGUCGAAUUGCAUUUGAGACUGGCAGCCUUGAGUGUAGUUGAGGUAGGCGGAAUGUGUGGUGUAGCGGUGAAAUGCUUAGAGAUCACGAAGAACACCGAUUGCGAAGGCAGCCUACUAAGCUACCACUGACGUUGAUGCACGAAAGUGUGGGUAUCAAACAGGAUUAGAUACCCCAGUAGUC
RNAcentral lists this ribosomal RNA (460 nucleotides) under uncultured bacterium. Its description in RNAcentral is "partial 16S ribosomal RNA". It matches the Rfam family "Bacterial small subunit ribosomal RNA", at positions 338 to 795 of the family's 1533-position model. The record is from RNAcentral.